This 877-nucleotide unclassified non-coding RNA is filed under the name Hevea brasiliensis (rubber tree). Lineage: Eukaryota; Viridiplantae; Streptophyta; Magnoliopsida; Malpighiales; Euphorbiaceae. The record is from RNAcentral.
GGGCAAUUGACCCAUUUCAAAUAGUAACAUUUCCUUGUGUAAAAUUCUCUCCAAUCGGACUGCGGCGUUAAUCCGUUCACUCUCCGGCGAAAAAAUGGAAGCCAAUGCUCCUCAGUUUAAGCUAAUUUUGGGUUCAUCCUCUACUGCUCGGAAAAAGAUUUUAGGCGACAUGGGAUACGAGUUCACAACCAUGUCUGCAGAUAUUGAUGAGAAAGCUAUCCGGAAAGAAAAGCCUGAAGAUUUAGUUAUGGCUCUUGCUGAGGCAAAGGCCGAUGCUAUCAUAUCAAAAUUUCGAAAAACUGAAAACCCUGAGAAGGUUCUCAAUCCAACAAUUCUGGUUGCAGCUGACACAGUGGUGGUCUAUGAAGGUGUGAUCAGGGAAAAACCAUCCAGUGAAGCAGAAGCACGUCAGUUCAUGAAAGAUUACGCCAAUGGACAUGCAGCAACCGUGAGUUCUGUUCUUGUCACGAACCUGACAACAGGAAGCAGAAGAGGAGAGUGGGACAAAGUCGAGAUUUAUUUCCACGACAUACCAGAUCAAGUCAUAGAUAAACUGAUUGAGGAAGGGAUAGUUCUUUAUGCAGCUGGUGGCUUGAUAAUUGAACAUCCUCUCGUUUUGCCUUAUAUUAAGGAAGUGGUUGGCUCGACUGAUAGCGUGAUGGGUCUCCCAAAAGCUCUCACCGAAAGACUUAUAAAGGAGGUUCUUUAGUAUGACUAUGAUCCUGCUCCUACCUGAAUGAGUUCGCGAUCUAUAAUUUUGAUAUACGCUAUUGGAGCUGAAAUUAUCAUUGAUUGUUCGCACUGGAUGUGCCCUUUAAUGAAUCCUCGUUAAAAGGAUUUAGAUUGUAUUCGUUCCAAUUACCAGACUCAAUAUUGU